Molecule: ribosomal RNA, 537 nt
Filed under: uncultured bacterium
Lineage: Bacteria
Description: bacterial SSU rRNA
Rfam family: Bacterial small subunit ribosomal RNA
Source: RNAcentral
AGAGUUUGAUCCUGGCUCAGGACGAACGCUGGCGGCGUGCCUAACACAUGCAAGUCGAACGGAGAUUUUAGCAAUAAAAUCUUAGUGGCGAACGGGUGAGUAACGCGUAGACAACCUACCUUCUAGAUGGGGACAACACUGGGAAACUAGUGCUAAUACCGAAUGUUGUAUUUUGAAUGCAUAUUCUAAAUACUAAAGGUGGCCUCUAUUCAUAAGCUACCACUAGAAGAUGGGUCUGCGUCUGAUUAGCUAGUUGGUGAGGUAAUGGCUCACCAAGGCGACGAUCAGUAGCCGGUCUGAGAGGAUGAACGGCCACACUGGGACUGAGACACGGCCCAGACUCCUACGGGAGGCAGCAGUGGGGAAUCUUCCGCAAUGGACGAAAGUCUGACGGAGCAACGCCGCGUGAGUGAAGAAGGUUUUCGGAUCGUAAAACUCUGUUUUCAGGGACGAAUGUGCUAUUUGUAAAUAAUGAGUAGUAAUGACGGUACCUGACAAGAAAGCCACGGCUAACUACGUGCCAGCAGCCGCGGUAAU